This 253-nucleotide ribosomal RNA is filed under the name uncultured bacterium. RNAcentral describes it as "partial 16S ribosomal RNA". It matches the Rfam family "Bacterial small subunit ribosomal RNA", at positions 524 to 776 of the family's 1533-position model. The record is from RNAcentral.
GACAGAGGGUGCAAACGUUGCUCGGAAUCACUGGGCGUAAAGGGCGUGUCGGCGGGAAUGUAAGUCGGGCGUGAAAUCCCUAGGCUCAACCUAGGAACUGCACUCGAAACUGCGUUUCUUGAGUAUCGGAGAGGAAAGCGGAAUACCUGGUGUAGAGGUGAAAUUCGUAGAUAUCAGGUGGUACACCAGUGGCGAAGGCGGCUUUCUGGACGAUAACUGACGCUGAGACGCGAAAGCGUGGGGAGCAAACAGG